CCUACGGGAGGCAGCAGUGGGGAAUAUUGCACAAUGGGCGAAAGCCUGAUGCAGCGACGCCGCGUGAGGGAUGACGGCCUUCGGGUUGUAAACCUCUUUCAGCAGGGAAGAAGCGAAAGUGACGGUACCUGCAGAAGAAGCACCGGCUAACUACGUGCCAGCAGCCGCGGUAAUACGUAGGGUGCGAGCGUUGUCCGGAAUUAUUGGGCGUAAAGAGCUUGUAGGCGGUUUGUCGCGUCUGCUGUGAAAAUCCGGGGCUCAACCCCGGACUUGCAGUGGGUACGGGCAGACUAGAGUGUGGUAGGGGAGACUGGAAUUCCUGGUGUAGCGGUGAAAUGCGCAGAUAUCAGGAGGAACACCGAUGGCGAAGGCAGGUCUCUGGGCCACUACUGACGCUGAGAAGCGAAAGCAUGGGGAGCGAACAGGAUUAGAUACCCUGGUAGUCCAUGCCGUAAACGUUGGGAACUAGGUGUGGGUCUCAUUCCACGAGAUCCGUGCCGCAGCUAACGCAUUAAGUUCCCCGCCUGGGGAGUACGGCCGCAAGGCUAAACUCAAAGGAUUGACGG
Molecule: ribosomal RNA, 566 nt
Filed under: uncultured bacterium
Lineage: Bacteria
Description: bacterial SSU rRNA
Rfam family: Bacterial small subunit ribosomal RNA
Source: RNAcentral